RNAcentral lists this ribosomal RNA (253 nucleotides) under uncultured bacterium. RNAcentral describes it as "partial 16S ribosomal RNA". It matches the Rfam family "Bacterial small subunit ribosomal RNA", at positions 524 to 776 of the family's 1533-position model. RNAcentral also lists the same sequence under 1 other name. The record is from RNAcentral.
UACGAAGGGGGCUAGCGUUGUUCGGAAUCACUGGGCGUAAAGCGCACGUAGGCGGAUUGUUAAGUCAGGGGUGAAAGCCUGGAGCUCAACUCCAGAACUGCCCUUGAUACUGGCAAUCUCGAGUCCGGAAGAGGUAAGUGGAACUGCGAGUGUAGAGGUGAAAUUCGUAGAUAUUCGCAAGAACACCAGUGGCGAAGGCGGCUUACUGGUCCGGUACUGACGCUGAGGUGCGAAAGCGUGGGGAGCAAACAGG